GAGAGUUAAAGAUCCACGGAGGCAGAAGAACCCUAGUAGGCCUUCUAGACCUCUGUUCACUGGGAAUCUUAUUUCCUAUAGGCCUGUCAUUGGCCAGGUGGUCGACCUGAAGGCCUCUUUGGACCUCUUGACUGAUGUCAGAGUUGCAGUCGAUGCCCAGACUGGCGCCCCCAGAGUGAUCAUAGGAAAAUGCAGCAGUGACCCAGACAGCAUCUCACGCACCGUGCUGGACAGAUCGAUGCCCAGCGUCCCUUGUAGCAUCUCCAUCUGGGAAGGUGCAGCCAUGCCCCAAGCAGAGCGAUAGCCUGAGUGCAGCCAGAAGGGGCUCUCCCAGAGACUCCUCCUCGAAGUCGGUACAGCAGCCUCUGUGCUCACCACCCUCCACCCCCUGCAACUAAAGACCACUUCGGCACCCUCUUGUGUGGCCCAUUUUAUUCCCUCCAUUGGGAUUGGGGGAGGGCAACGAGGUGGUAGAGACCUGGGUGGGAGCUGGAAGGGACCUCUGGGACGAUCCAGCUUGUUUUACAAAUUGGAACACUGACACACAGAGAGGGCAAGAGACUGACCCAGGGUCACACAGCCAGUUGGUGGCAGUGGCAGGCUCUUGAUUCAUCCAUUCACAUGCUCAGCAGGCAUUCAGUGAGGGCCUACUCUGGGCCAGGCAGGCAGUAGGAAUAGACAGUCACACUUUGGGUAACCCCACCCAGGGCUUUCCUCCCUUCCCCUCAGGGAGUCCUCAGGGACUCUGAGAGGUCUUAUGGAGGAUGGGGGACACCGGGUCUGUGGGCUCAGGAGUAUAGGGCAGAGUACCAUAGGGUCAGGGGCCUGGGCCACUUCCCAGCCUGCCCCUCUGUGCCCUCUGAAAGGCUAGGGUUCCCCUGCAACGGAGAUCAAUUCAAGCAGCACCUGAGGACACCCAUGGUCUCACGACACCAGGGCUCACCCACCCAGCCCUGAGAGCCUGUGGGCCCACUGGCCAGGCUGCACAAGGGCCCUGCCUGCCUGGUGAAGCCAAGCACCU
Molecule: long non-coding RNA, 1021 nt
Filed under: Zalophus californianus (California sea lion)
Lineage: Eukaryota; Metazoa; Chordata; Mammalia; Carnivora; Otariidae
Description: lncRNA (ENSZCAG00015008716.1)
Source: RNAcentral